Kogia breviceps (pygmy sperm whale) is the source of this 4076-nucleotide non-coding RNA. The record is from RefSeq and is a predicted model, not a curated record. NCBI's taxonomy places the organism in Eukaryota, Metazoa, Chordata, Mammalia, Artiodactyla, Physeteridae.
CGUUCAGGGCGCAGCCUCCGCAGCCUGGGUGCCUGAGCCUGAACUCUUAGCAGCUGCCGGCCGUUGGGCAAGUUGCUUUAACUCUCUGCACCUCCGCUUCCCCACUUGUAAAGUGGGAUAAUCACAGUGUAGCUAUUGUGAUGAUCAAACUAGUACAAGUAUAAGUACAUAGAACAGAGCCUAGCACACAGUGCAGUUAUUUGCGUUAAACACAAAACACUGUGCUGUCCUUACUGCUUCAGAAGCUUCAGCUCAUCCUGGACUUUACCUUUCCUUCUACUUGCCUUCCAGGUUCCGGCUCCUUUGCAUGAGACUCCGGACAUUGUCUUCUCUUUCUAGCUUGUUGUCACGUCCUUGUAGCCCCCAACUGGACUGAAUCCACACACCAGUCACGUUAUAACUCUGUUUUUCAGGGUGCCUCCUAACCCGUCCCCCAUUUUAGCCCCUCACCGUGGGUUCAUUUGAAACGUAACUCGCCCCUUUGAAAUCUCCUUCCUAAAAACAUAAGGCACACGUCUAAGUAAGCCCAGUGUUCCCUUCAGAACACUCACACUAAGUUCAGAGCACUGGUCCUCGUGUUGCUUCCUUGCUCUUCUGAGACAUAAAUCCAGGAGUUAAAGCAGGUCAACGUUUAGCACAAUUAGAUUUCUUGAAGCUCUCCAACCAACAAUGACUUUUCAGUACCUUUAUGACAGUUUCCUAAGUAGUUACUGUAACGGGAUGUUCACAUGAUACUCCUCCCGUAUGAAAAUUUGGGUGAGACCCCCAAGCUGAGAACCGCCCUCAGAGGGUGUUAGAUCGUCUGUGGAGGGCUGGCACGCGGUGGUCCAAAACUGGUUCCGUCACCCACCUCAAGAGCUUAGAAGAGGAGGCUAGGAAUUUAUUAGAACUUUGAAGCAGCCGGUGGCAAGGAUUGGUUUGAAGAGAGUUGGCAGGAGUUGUGCAUUCCCACCACUCCGUCCCCGGCCCACCCACCCCCUGCUUCGGGGGAGGGGGGUGUAUUUCCCCAUCACCUUAAGCAAGCGAGAGACAUGAGAAACCGCUCGGAGAGCUCUAUCUGUGAGGCUCAGAAUUGGGUGGGUGCAGACUGGUAGCUGCCUACCAUCUGCAAAGCCCAAAGAAAAGAUGUGAUUGAAACCGCUCCUGCCAGGGAGCAGAGUACAGAGACAGGGCUUGGGAGGGCAGGUACCCUGACUUCGGGGUGCACUAGGGGCUGUGGGCCAAGGGGGGAGUGACCAGCUGCAUGCGACUCUGGCUUCAUUAAAAGCACUGCAGGCUGGGGACUCCCAUGACGUUGGGCGAGGUGCCAAGGGAAGACCCUCAAAGAACCCAUGAAAGUGCUAAGUAGGAGAAAGAAGCAUCCUGACUUCAGACUGCAGUGCUCUCGACCAGGUGAGCCCUUUCUCGCUUCCACCCUUUCCUUCACGCUUCUCCUGUUUUGGGGGAGCCUGAAUCGAGAAGAGUUCCAACAGUGAUGGAGCCAACGAGCUCCUACACCACCGCCAGCUCCUAAUCUUGCAUCUGGCCCAAGCUGGCAGGAAGAGAGGGCUCUAAAUUGUAUGACAAACUUGAAUCCUGGAUUGAACUGGACAUUUUUAUUGUCUGAAAAAUGGGACGACUUGUUAAUUCCACAGGACCUGCCUGAGAUUUCAUCCAGGAGCAAAGAAGAAGCACUCGACUUAGCACAGAAAAAAAUAGCAUAAUUGCUUUCUUCUUGCACUCUUUUGAGUCCAGCUCAUUUAAGGAAACGGUGACUCAGUAACAAGAAAGCAGAAGCCUUAUCCUCUAGGGUCUAGAUGGUCUGUGGACACAGAGGAUGAUUUGGUUGGAGUCUUGGAAGUAUGAUCCUCACAUUAAGAGGUUCUUAUGCAUUAGGAACCCGCGCCCUGAGCGAUGGCCCUUUAAUCCUUUCUCCUUUUAGUUUCAUCCAUAUGCUCUGAUCGUCCUUCAUCAUGAAUAAAAGAUGCUAUAGGACCAGGGGGAGUUCCUGUUGCCAUCCUCAGGAGGGAGCUGAGCUCAAGGACAUGACAGACAUGGGAAACAUUUGGCAAAAGACUGAACCCAAGGAGUGAGCGGGAAGCUUAGCCUCCAAGGCUGGACACAGGGUCUCUCUGGUGGUAGCACCGCGUGCACAAGUUCAGCACUUCACGGUGGCUGAGUGUGGGUGAGGGUUGUGGAAGCAAGCAGGUGAGUAAGAGCUCAGGGUGUGGCCCCCCCAAAAGACGGGGGAAAGUUGAGGGUGAAGAGAGGGGGAGGAGGACUGGGUGGAAGAGGAGGUCUGAGGAAGUUAGAAGGGCUCUGGCAGUGGGUUGCCAGACUUGGCAAAUAAAAACACAAGACGUCCAGUCCUUUGUUUUAUCUGGUCAUUCUACUCUAGAGACUGUUGGACCAGGGGAGUGAGAAUCAAUAUCUUUAGCAUUUGCUAUUGCAGCCAGUGGAGUCAUCCAGAAUUAAAGAGAGUGAAACAGUGUGGAAAUAGAGUGUUCUCCAUGUGAAUCAGAGACAGGGCAAACGUUAGAAAUACUAAGAUGCAUCAACUAUCAUCACCAGGAAACAGUCAUAUGGAAGGCACAUUGCUUGCUUUGGUGAUGGGAAAGACACUAGAGAGAGCAAAUUUACAUUACCUGCUUUAAAGAAAUACGACUUAGAUAUAAAUGACUCUAAGGGAAGUCACAUAACAACGUAAAACAUAUUAAAAAAGACCUCAGUAAAAUAAAAACAUGGGAAUAAACUCAAGAUAAUUGAAGGAGACAGUGGAGAAGAGACCCCAACACAUAUUCAGAGGAAGUGAAGAGAAUAAAAGCCCGUUGAUGGAUCAUCAGAUCCCGAAGCCAUAUUCCAGAAUGGGGGUGGGGAUAGAGGGGUGGGGAUGCAGAGGAGAGAAUUUCAGGUGUCUGCAGAUGCGCUGGCCGUGGGCGGCACCCCACGCUCUCCUCACCCACCCCCGAGUUUGGAGCCUCCGCAGCCAAAUUCCAGGCAAAAAGCAGAGCUCCCUUUUCUACAGUUGUUGACAUCUUUCUGAGAAUUAGGGCUUCCAGACCCCUGGAUAACUGCCCCCCAGGUUUUGACACUUGAGAGCCUCCCAGGCAGACUCUUCUUUCUGCUCAACCAGAGUGAAGCCUGCCUGUCAGUAAAGCCGCAUAAAAUGGUGGCAUGUGGACAUUACCACGGAAGGGUAAUGAAUGGAAUCCAUUUAACCUGAGGGCACAGCAGCACAUGCUUCCUGACACUGGGCCCAUAGUAUAAUCCUAGCUCCGCGCCUGCCUCAGUGUUUAUGGAAAGAACUGAUUUGAUGUAUCAACGAUUUCAGGUUGUAUUAAAGUUUAUUGGUUUCCCACCUUGACAAUCAGACUAAUAGAACACAGAAGACUUAAAUAUGCUUAUAGGAAAAAAUGUGAUAUGAUCAACCGUGACAGUGUGAAAGUAAAUUGCAGCUGUCGGAGAAUGAGAAGGGUAUAAGAAGAAGGGUGGAGCGCUCAUAUCUUAAUCUAGUUUAGUUGGGAAUCAAGAGGUACUUUCUAUGUAAAUCAGUGUAGCCAUUAUGGGAAAUAGUAUGGAGCUUCCUCAAAAAAUUAAAAGUUGAACUACCAUACGAUCCAGCAAUCCCACUUCUGGGUAUAUAUCCAAAGAAAAUGUAAACAGGAUCUCAUAGAGAUACCUGCUUUCCCAUGUUCAUUGCAGCAUUAUUUACAAUAGACAAGGAAACAAGCCAAGUAUCCAUCAAUGGAUGAAUGGAUAAAGAUUUGGUGUACAUAUACCAGAAACAAUUCUUGCGAGUGACAAGAACAUUUCAGUACAAUAUUUUCAGGUGGUUGGGUAGUUUGAUAUGCUAUGAUUUCCAAUUUUCACUGCUGAACUUUCAAAUCUCAUUAAAACAGCUCUUUGUUGCUAUUUGCUGAGUUAAAUCAGCAGUGAUUCAGCAAAUAAGCAGACAUAACAGGUUUCCUCUUGGCAGGUAGAAUCAUGGACCUCCAAAAUAUACGAUUGAGAAAGUGAUUUCAGAGCUAAAGCAUUGGGGGUGCCUUUAUAAGGAUUGUCUUCUGUCAAUCCUAACUGCUCUUUACAAGUGAAUGACU